RNAcentral lists this ribosomal RNA (918 nucleotides) under uncultured bacterium. Its description in RNAcentral is "bacterial SSU rRNA". It matches the Rfam family "Bacterial small subunit ribosomal RNA", at positions 531 to 1449 of the family's 1533-position model. The record is from RNAcentral.
AGUGGCAGCGUUGUCGGAAUACUGGGCGUAAAGUAGCUCGUAGGCGGUUUGUCGCGUCUGCUGUGAAAACCCGAGGCUCAACCUCGGGCCUGCAGUGGGUACGGGCAGACUAGAGUGCGGUAGGGGAGAUUGGAAUUCCUGGUGUAGCGGUGGAAUGCGCAGAUAUCAGGAGGAACACCGAUGGCGAAGGCAGAUCUCUGGGCCGUAACUGACGCUGAGGAGCGAAAGCAUGGGGAGCGAACAGGAUUAGAUACCCUGGUAGUCCAUGCCGUAAACGUUGGGAACUAGAUGUAGGGACCAUUCCACGGUUUCUGUGUCGCAGCUAACGCAUUAAGUUCCCCGCCUGGGGAGUACGGCCGCAAGGCUAAAACUCAAAGGAAUUGACGGGGGCCCGCACAAGCGGCGGAGCAUGCGGAUUAAUUCGAUGCAACGCGAAGAACCUUACCAAGGCUUGACAUAUACCGGAAAAGUUCAGAAAUGUUCUCCCCGCAAGGUCGGUAUACAGGUGGUGCAUGGUUGUCGUCAGCUCGUGUCGUGAGAUGUUGGGUUAAGUCCCGCAACGAGCGCAACCCUCGUUCUAUGUUGCCAGCACGUCAUGGUGGGAACUCAUAGGAGACUGCCGGGGUCAACUCGGAGGAAGGUGGGGAUGACGUCAAAUCAUCAUGCCCCUUAUGUCUUGGGCUUCACGCAUGCUACAAUGGCCGAUACAAAGGGCUGCAAUACCGCGAGGUGGAGCGAAUCCCAAAAAGUCGGUCUCAGUUCGGAAUGAGGUCUGCAACUCGACCUCAUGAAGUCGGAGUCGCUAGUAAUCGCAGAUCAGCAACGCUGCGGUGAAUACGUUCCCGGGCCUUGUACACACCGNCCGUNCAGUCAUGAAAGUCGGUAACACCCGAAGCCAGUGGCCCAACCGCAAGGANG